GUGGGGGCUGUGCCAAGAUGGCGGCCGGGCGGGGGCCGGGGACCGGAGCGGUAGGGCUGAGAGUCUCCGCGCACCUCGCCCUCUCCUUCUCAGCCCUGGAGGAGGCGGGCAGCUCCGGCAUCCGCCGCCUCACCGGGACGCAGCUGCGCGACGACCCCAGCAGCGACACGGCGGCAGCCGAUGGAUGCCAGUGGAGAAGGGAAACUGCUGGGAAUGAGAAGAUCACUGUUGAAGCAGAGCACACUGCAAACAUGAUGUGCUCUUUCAUGCUUGAAGCUGGAUAAAUCUCUCUGUCUCAGCAGGUGGAAAGUGAAACCCAGGCCUGGAGUAAUUCUGGUGGUUUCUGUGGUUAAUCCCCAGGUGCUGCUCCUCACUCCUCAGAGACUCAUGGCACUUCUGGGCUUUGCUCUCUUUGUUUUGGUGAUCUCAGUAGCACAUUUUACACUGAAGUGUAGUCCAGCAGCCCUGGGGCCGCUCAAAAUCCUGCUUCACCUUCAUUGCUGGCAUUUCUUGUCUGGACAGUUUGGUUUUACUUGAUGCCUUGUGCUCAAAUGCCAUUCCUUACUCCUGCUCUUGCUGAGGACACAGUGGGUUGGGGCUGGGCCCUGCCUGGAGCACAGAAGGAUGGGAUUGCAAGGAGCUUCCUUCCAAACUGGGAAAACACAAGGAGCCUGAUGAGACAGGCAGAGACUGUGCCCAGUGCCUGGCAGUCUGCCUUUGUCACAGCUCCAGGGGCACAGUCUGCUCCUGCAGCCCCUCCCUCUCUGCCUAUCCCAUGCCUUUGGGAUCUGUAUUUCCUGAAAAUAAAUGGAAUUUCACCCUU
Molecule: non-coding RNA, 823 nt
Organism: Pseudopodoces humilis (Tibetan ground-tit)
Lineage: Eukaryota; Metazoa; Chordata; Aves; Passeriformes; Paridae
Source: RefSeq, a predicted model, not a curated record